UACGUAGGGGGCAAGCGUUGUCCGGAUUUAUUGGGCGUAAAGAGCGUGUAGGCGGCUAGGUAGGUCCGUUGUGAAAACUCGAGGCUCAACCUCGAGACGCCGAUGGAAACCAUCUAGCUAGAGUCCGGAAGAGGAGAGUGGAAUUCCUGGUGUAGCGGUGAAAUGCGCAGAUAUCAGGAAGAACACCCGUGGCUAAGGCGGCUCUCUAGUACGGUACUGACGCUGAGACGCGAAAGCGUGGGGAGCGAAUAGG
RNAcentral lists this ribosomal RNA (253 nucleotides) under uncultured bacterium. RNAcentral's name for it is "partial 16S ribosomal RNA". It matches the Rfam family "Bacterial small subunit ribosomal RNA", at positions 524 to 776 of the family's 1533-position model. The record is from RNAcentral.